GGCAAAACACCCAGAGCAGCGCCAGGGUCAAAGUGCCAUGCUAGCAGUCACCAUGGCGACAAUCCUGCUCAGUAUUCUCAUGCCUCGUCAUAGUAGAUGGCUUCCUUGGCCUCCCAACCAACGGUGGGCAACCACCCAUGCCACCCACUAUGAUGGCCCUAUCAGAAGCCAGCUCCACAUUCCUAGACAUUCAAAACUUUUAUAUGACAGCGUGCCAAGCCAAGCUCUGGAAACUUACCCUGAUCAGACCAGCUGAGGUCCCAAACCAUCUCUGAGCCUAUCUGCUCAGAGCAUAUCAGGUUCCACCCCAUGAGGAGGCUCUCCUUUAGUACAAGAGCUUCAAGGGCUUCAACGAACAAUGCAUCCUUUACAGGAUAUCAAACCAGAGCGAACGAUGGAAAGGAUCCUGGGAUCUGCUACACAACUAUCAGGUUAUCCUUUACAGAUGAAUGUCUUUAAGCUAGACUUUUGC
Molecule: long non-coding RNA, 472 nt
Filed under: Mus spicilegus (steppe mouse)
Lineage: Eukaryota; Metazoa; Chordata; Mammalia; Rodentia; Muridae
Description: lncRNA (ENSMSIG00000009692.1)
Source: RNAcentral